AUGCAACAGCUCCACCUGCGGUUGCAGCUCUUGACGAUGAUGGUUGUAGCUCCGCCGCCGCCCCUCGCCAUUGAUGCUUGCUGCACGGAAUUACAUCAACGACGACCACCAGCCAAUCAACACCGUUUGAAUGUGGAUGUAGCAAAAAACUUCACGGUAGCAAAAUCAAACUACGGGUGCAGCAAAACGCCGUCACCGCAUUCUCGCGAGGUCACAGCCCCGCCUUACAUGGAUGUAGCAAAAUCCUACUACGGUUGCAGCAAAAAGAUAGCCAUCGUCGCCGUCAACCAACACCGCCGUGGGUGGAUGUAG
This 312-nucleotide ribosomal RNA is filed under the name Triticum aestivum (bread wheat). Its description in RNAcentral is "partial small subunit ribosomal RNA". Lineage: Eukaryota; Viridiplantae; Streptophyta; Magnoliopsida; Poales; Poaceae. The record is from RNAcentral.